GUAUACGUGUGCGCGUGUGUGUGUGUGUGUGUGUGAAUAGGAUUUCGAGGUUUUCCCUUUGUAAAAGAGCCCAAACGUGUGGCACGCACUGGACGGCGAUGCAACGAUCGUGCGUAACGGCUCCAGCUCCCCCCGAUGUCCCCAUCGACCAUCGAGCCUCCCUGGACUUCCGCUAGAUGGCGCGUCGCCCUCAGCCCUGGCCACC
This is a long non-coding RNA of Drosophila pseudoobscura, 205 nucleotides long. RefSeq lists it as uncharacterized. NCBI's taxonomy places the organism in Eukaryota, Metazoa, Arthropoda, Insecta, Diptera, Drosophilidae. The transcript is spliced from 2 exons. The record is from RefSeq and is a predicted model, not a curated record.